CUGAUGCAGCCAUGCCGCGUGGUGUGAAGAAGGGCCUUCGGGGUUGUAAAGUACUUUCAGUUGUGAGGAAGGGGGUAACGUUAAUAGCGUUAUCUCUUGACGUUAGCAACAGAAGAAGCACCGGCUAACUCCGUGCCAGCAGCCGCGGUAAU
Molecule: ribosomal RNA, 152 nt
Filed under: uncultured bacterium
Lineage: Bacteria
Description: partial 16S ribosomal RNA
Rfam family: Bacterial small subunit ribosomal RNA
Source: RNAcentral